This 468-nucleotide ribosomal RNA is filed under the name uncultured bacterium. RNAcentral's name for it is "partial 16S ribosomal RNA". It matches the Rfam family "Bacterial small subunit ribosomal RNA", at positions 28 to 507 of the family's 1533-position model. The record is from RNAcentral.
GACGAACGCUGGCGGCGUGCUUAACACAUGCAAGUCGAACGGAAAGGCCCUGCUUUUGUGGGGUGCUCGAGUGGCGAACGGGUGAGUAACACGUGAGUAACCUGCCCUUGACUUUGGGAUAACUUCAGGAAACUGGGGCUAAUACCGGAUAGGAGCUCCUGCUGCAUGGUGGGGGUUGGAAAGUUUCGGCGGUGGGGGAUGGACUCGCGGCUUAUCAGCUUGUUGGUGGGGUAGUGGCUGACCAAGGCUUUGACGGGUAGCCGGCCUGAGAGGGUGAGCGGCCACCUUGGGUCCGAGGUACGGCCGCGGCUCCUACGGGUGGCAGCAGUGGGGAAUAUUGCACGAUGGGCGGAAGCCUGGUGCAGCAGCUCCGCGUGCGGGAUGACGGCCUUCGUGUUGUAAACCGCAUUCGCCUGUGACGAAGCGUGAGUGGCGGUAAUGGGUACAGAAGCACCGGCUAACUACGUG